UGGGGAAUAUUGCACAAUGGGGGAAACCCUGAUGCAGCGACGCCGCGUGAGCGAAGAAGUAUUUCGGUAUGUAAAGCUCUAUCAGCAGGGAAGAUGAUGACGGUACCUGACUAAGAAGCCCCGGCUAACUACGUGCCAGCAGCCGCGGUAAUACGUAGGGGGCAAGCGUUAUCCGGAUUUACUGGGUGUAAAGGGAGCGUAGACGGCGAAGCAAGUCUGGUGUGAAAACCCGGGGCUCAACCCCGGGCCUGCAUUGGAAACUGUUUUGCUCGAGUGCCGGAGAGGUAAGCGGAAUUCCUAGUGUAGCGGUGAAAUGCGUAGAUAUUAGGAGGAACACCAGUGGCGAAGGCGGCUUACUGGACGGUAACUGACGUUGAGGCUCGAAAGCGUGGGGAGCAAACA
This 402-nucleotide ribosomal RNA is filed under the name uncultured bacterium. Its description in RNAcentral is "bacterial SSU rRNA". It matches the Rfam family "Bacterial small subunit ribosomal RNA", at positions 355 to 774 of the family's 1533-position model. The record is from RNAcentral.